UGGGGAAUAUUGCACAAUGGGCGCAAGCCUGAUGCAGCCAUGCCGCGUGUGUGAAGAAGGCCUUCGGGUUGUAAAGCACUUUCAGCGGGGAGGAAGGCGAUAAGGUUAAUAACCUCAUCGAUUGACGUUACCCGCAGAAGAAGCACCGGCUAACUCCGUGCCAGCAGCCGCGGUAAUACGGAGGGUGCAAGCGUUAAUCGGAAUUACUGGGCGUACAGCGCACGCAGUCGGUCUGUCAAGUCGGAUGUGAAAUCCCCGGGCUCAACCUGGGAACUGCAUUCGAAACUGGCAGGCUAGAGUCUUGUAGAGGGGGGUAGAAUUCCAGGUGUAGCGGUGAAAUGCGUAGAGAUCUGGAGGAAUACCGGUGGCGAAGGCGGCCCCCUGGACAAAGACUGACGCUCAGGUGCGAAAGCGUGGGGAGCAAACAGG
This 429-nucleotide ribosomal RNA is filed under the name Chloroflexota bacterium. Its description in RNAcentral is "Chloroflexi bacterium partial 16S ribosomal RNA". It matches the Rfam family "Bacterial small subunit ribosomal RNA", at positions 355 to 776 of the family's 1533-position model. Lineage: Bacteria; Bacillati; Chloroflexota. The record is from RNAcentral.